GGGUGAGUAAUGUCUGGGAAACUUGCCUGAGGGAGGGGGAGAACUACUGGAAACGGUAGCUAAUACCGCAUAACGUCGCAAGACCAAAGAGGGGGACCUUCGGGCCUCUUGCCAUCAGAUGUGCCCAGAUGGGAUUAGCUAGUAGGUGGGGUAAUGGCUCACCUAGGCGACGAUCCCUAGCUGGUCUGAGAGGAUGACCAGCCACACUGGAACUGAGACACGGUCCAGACUCCUACGGGAGGCAGCAGUGGGGAAUAUUGCACAAUGGGCGCAAGCCUGAUGCAGCCAUGCCGCGUGUGUGAAGAAGGCCUUCGGGUUGUAAAGCACUUUCAGCGAGGAGGAAGGUGGUGAACUUAAUACGUUCAUCAAUUGACGUUACUCGCAGAAGAAGCACCGGCUAACUCCGUGCCAGCAGCCGCGGUAAUACGGAGGGUGCAAGCGUUAAUCGGAAUUACUGGGCGUAAAGCGCACGCAGGCGGUUUGUUAAGUCAGAUGUGAAAUCCCCGGGCUCAACCUGGGAACUGCAUUUGAAACUGGCAAGCUAGAGUCUCGUAGAGGGGGGUAGAAUUCCAGGUGUAGCGGUGAAAUGCGUAGAGAUCUGGAGGAAUACCGGUGGCGAA
This 620-nucleotide ribosomal RNA is filed under the name Serratia marcescens. RNAcentral's name for it is "bacterial SSU rRNA". It matches the Rfam family "Bacterial small subunit ribosomal RNA", at positions 104 to 719 of the family's 1533-position model. The record is from RNAcentral. Lineage: Bacteria; Pseudomonadati; Pseudomonadota; Gammaproteobacteria; Enterobacterales; Yersiniaceae.